Molecule: ribosomal RNA, 647 nt
Filed under: uncultured Actinomycetes bacterium
Lineage: Bacteria; Bacillati; Actinomycetota; Actinomycetes
Description: bacterial SSU rRNA
Rfam family: Bacterial small subunit ribosomal RNA
Source: RNAcentral
CGCGGCCUAUCAGCUUGUUGGUGGGGUGAUGGCCUACCAAGGCGUCGACGGGUAGCCGGCCUGAGAGGGCGACCGGCCACACUGGGACUGAGACACGGCCCAGACUCCUACGGGAGGCAGCAGUGGGGAAUAUUGCACAAUGGGCGAAAGCCUGAUGCAGCGACGCCGCGUGAGGGAUGACGGCCUUCGGGUUGUAAACCUCUUUCAGCAGGGAAGAAGGCCUUCGGGUGGACGGUACCUGCAGAAGAAGCGCCGGCUAACUACGUGCCAGCAGCCGCGGUAAGACGUAGGGCGCGAGCGUUGUCCGGAUUUAUUGGGCGUAAAGGGCUCGUAGGCGGCCCGCUGCGUCUGCCGUGAAAGGCCUCGGCUUAACCGAGGUUUUGCGGUGGAUACGGGCGGGCUUGAGGCAAGUAGGGGAAACUGGAAUUCUACGUGUAGCGGUGAAAUGCGCAGAUAUGUGGAGGAACACCGGUGGCGAAGGCGGGUUUCUGGGCUUGUUCUGACGCUGAGGAGCGAAAGCGUGGGGAGCGAACAGGAUUAGAUACCCUGGUAGUCCAUGCUGUAAACGGUGGGCGCUAGGUGUGGGGCCACGUUGGUUGGUUCUGUGCCGUAGCUAACGCAUUAAGCGCCCCGCCUGGGGAGUACGG